RNAcentral lists this microRNA (25 nucleotides) under Equus caballus (horse). Its description in RNAcentral is "eca-miR-9123". The record is from miRBase by way of RNAcentral. Lineage: Eukaryota; Metazoa; Chordata; Mammalia; Perissodactyla; Equidae.
CGCGCCUUCUCAGAGGUACAGGAUC